Molecule: ribosomal RNA, 253 nt
Filed under: uncultured bacterium
Lineage: Bacteria
Description: partial 16S ribosomal RNA
Rfam family: Bacterial small subunit ribosomal RNA
Source: RNAcentral
UACGGGGGGGGCAAGCGUUGUUCGGAGUUACUGGGCGUAAAGGGUGUGUAGGCGGUUCUUUAAGUUUGGUGUGAAAUCUCCCGGCUCAACCGGGAGGGUGCGCCGAAUACUGAGGGACUCGAGUGCGGGAGAGGAAAGUGGAAUUCCUGGUGUAGCGGUGAAAUGCGUAGAUAUCAGGAGGAACACCGGUGGUGUAGACGGCUUUCUGGACCGUAACUGACGCUGAGACACGAAAGCGUGGGUAGCAAACAGG